CGUUAAGUAUCCCGCCUGUGGAGUACCCGGGUAUCUAAUCCGGACGCUGAGUAACGCGUGGGAAUGUACCCCAAAGUGAGGGAUAACGCAUCGAAAGGUGUGCUAAUACCGCAUAUGGUCUUCGGAUUAAAGCCUUCGGGCGCUUUGGGAACAGCCUGCGUCAGAUUAGAUAGUUGGUGAGGUAAUGGCUCACCAAGUCGACGAUCUGUAACUGGUUUGAGAGGAUGAUCAGUCAGACUGGAACUGAGACACGGUCCAGACUCCUACGGGAGGCAGCAGUGAGGAAUCUUCCACAAUGGGCGAAAGCCUGAUGGAGCAACGCCGCGUGCAGGAUGAAGGCCUUCGGGUUGUAAACUGCUUUUAUAAGUGAGGAUUAUGACAGUAACUUAUGAAUAAGGAUCGGCUAACUACGUGCCAGCAGCCGCGGUCAUACGUAGGAUCCGAGCGUUAUCCGGAGUGACUGGGCGUAAAGAGUUGCGUAGGUGGUUCAAUAAGCGAAUAGUGAAAGCUGGUGGCUCAACCAUUCAGACUAUUAUUCGAACUGUUGAACUCGAGAGCAGAAGAGGUAGCUGGAAUUUCUAGUGUAGGAGUGAAAUCCGUAGAUAUUAGAAGGAACACCGAUGGCGUAGGCAGGCUACUGGGCUGUUUCUGACACUGAGGCACGAAAGCGUGGGGAGCGAACCGGAUUAGAUACCCGGGUAGUCCACGCCGUAAACGAUGGAUACUAGCUGUUUGGGGUAUCGACCCCCUGAGUAGCGAAGCUAACGCGUUAAGUAUCCCGCCUGUGGAGUACGAUCGCAAGAUUAAAACAUAAAGGAAUUGACGGGGACCCGCACAAGCGGUGGAUCAUGUUCUUUAAUUCGAUGAUAACCGAUAAACCUUACCAGGUCUUGACAUCCUUGGAAUCUUUCAGAAAUGAGAGAGUGCUUUUUAAGAGCCAAGUGACAGGUGAUGCAUGGCCGUCGUCAGCUCGUGUCGUGAGAUGUUUGGUUAAGUCCAUCAACGAGCGCAACCCUUGUCAGUAGUUGUAUUUUUCUACUGAGACUG
This 1047-nucleotide ribosomal RNA is filed under the name viral metagenome. RNAcentral describes it as "bacterial SSU rRNA". It matches the Rfam family "Bacterial small subunit ribosomal RNA", at positions 64 to 1151 of the family's 1533-position model. The record is from RNAcentral.